Molecule: ribosomal RNA, 460 nt
Filed under: uncultured bacterium
Lineage: Bacteria
Description: partial 16S ribosomal RNA
Rfam family: Bacterial small subunit ribosomal RNA
Source: RNAcentral
CCUACGGGUGGCAGCAGUGAGGAAUAUUGGUCAAUGGCCGUAAGGCUGAACCAGCCAAGUCUCGUGAAGGAAGACGGAUCUAUGGUUUGUAAACUUCUUUUAUAGGGGAAUAAAGGUAUCCACGUGUGGAUAUUUGCAUUUACCCUAUGAAUAAGCAUCGGCUAACUCCGUGCCAGCAGCCGCGGUAAUCCGGAGGAUGCGAGAGUUAUCCGGAUUUAUUGGGUUUAAGGGGUGCUUAGGUUGUUUUUUAAGUCAGAGGUGAAAGUUUGUGUCGCAACCAUAAAAUUGCCGUUGAAACUGGAAGACUUGAGUGUGUUUGAGGUAGGCGGAAUGCGUGGUGUAGCGGUGAAAUGCAUAGAUAUCACGCAGAACUCCGAUUGCGAAGGCAGCUUACUAAGCCAUAACUGACACUGAAGCACGAAAGCGUGGGGAUCAAACAGGAUUAGAUGCCCUUGUAGUC